AAUUAUGUGUACCUAUGGAAGUAUGUAGGUUGUGAAGGAAAAUGUUUUUGUUCAUAAUAAAAUAUAAUUUAG
Molecule: transfer RNA, 72 nt
Filed under: Schistosoma mansoni
Lineage: Eukaryota; Metazoa; Platyhelminthes; Trematoda; Strigeidida; Schistosomatidae
Source: RNAcentral